This 481-nucleotide ribosomal RNA is filed under the name uncultured bacterium. RNAcentral's name for it is "partial 16S ribosomal RNA". It matches the Rfam family "Bacterial small subunit ribosomal RNA", at positions 28 to 507 of the family's 1533-position model. The record is from RNAcentral.
GACGAACGUUGGCGGCGUGCUUAAUACAUGCAAGUCAACUGAAGCAGUGGUAGCAAUAUCGCUGUGGAGGUGGCGCACGGGUGAGUAACACGUAGGUAAUCUGCCUUCAGGUCUGGCAUAACUCCGGGAAACCGGGGCUAAUAGCAGAUGAUGCAGCGGCUCGACAUCGAGACAGUUGUUAAAGCUAUGGCGCCUGAAGAUGAGCCUGCGUCUGAUUAGCUAGUUGGCGGGGUAACGGCCCACCAAGGCAACGAUCAGUAGCUGGUCUGAGAGGAUGAUCAGACAAACUGGAACUGAGACACGGUCCAGACUACUACGGGAGGCAGCAGUAAGGAAUAUUGCUCAAUGGGAGAAAUCCUGAAGCAGCAACGCCGCGUGAGGGACGAAGGGCUUUUGCUUGUAAACCUCUGUAGUGAGAGAAAAAAAUCCCAAUCUUUGGGACAUGAUGGUAGCUCAAAAGUAAGCCCCGGCUAACUACGUG